AUGUUAAAACCCAGUAAGCUAGAUCACGUAACCAUGCCACAAGAUCAAGUAGCUAUGAGUCAAGCUAUUCAGGAUAUGCAUGCAAUGAUAACUGCACUGAAUACUAAAAUUCAAAAUCUCGAAGCUGAGAAGGCUCAAAAUCGGCAGCAAUGCCCUUAUGAAAAAACCAUGAUUAAUUUUUUGAGCACCAUUCCAGAAUUUGAUGGAAAAUGUCCGCAAACAUUGCCUUCUUUUAUUCGUACUUGUGAUGAAGCUGUAACGUUGUUUUGGAAAAACGAAUAUCAAUUACAGAAUAGGAUCAUGAUGAAUAAAUUUAUCAGCAAAUUAAAAGGUUCCGCUGCUGAAAUGGUAGCCAAUCGUGAGUUCAUCACUUGGCCUCCGUUAAAGAAAUUUUUACUAGAAUUUUAUGGUGAUAGAGAGAAUGCUGCUACUUUAAUGUUUCGUAGUGCUAAUGUUAAACAAACCCCUCAGGAAUCGGCAACUACAUUUUUGAAUAAAAUUAUUUCCACAGCUAAUAAAGCCCUCAACCAUUUGCAAACGUACGAUUCUGAAAUGACAGCUAAAGAGUUGCUCGAAAAUUAUUUUUUGCAUUUAUCAUUGGAAAAUAUUAAAGAGCCACUGGCUUCGCAUCUUAAGGCCCGGGAUCCAAAAACAUUGGGAGAAGUACAAAAUCUUCUAUGUAAUGUAUUUCCUCAAUAUGACGUGAAACUUCGUACGAAUGAAACUCCUACGACAUCGAAAGAAUCCCCACGGUUCCCUAAUUUUAAACAAUUCCAGAAACCCUUUAUUAAAUCGAACUUCCAGAAUCAGUCAAGACCCCAACCUCAGAAUCAACAACGAAAUUUCCCAACACCCUCCGGAAAACCUAACCUUCCGAAUAAUGCUCCUGUUCCCAUGUCUGGUGUUAGUCGACCCCCUUUUCGGAAUAACCAGUUCAACCUUUCGGACCAACCUGUAGAAGACCCUUCCGAAAUCGACGAAGUACCCAUAGAAAACGAUUUUAUUGAUGAAACUCCUGAACAAGAACAAUUCAAUGAUGAAUCUGAAGAAAAUUUUUGCGUACUAGCCUCGGUGAAACUAAUCUAA
Molecule: long non-coding RNA, 1086 nt
Filed under: Bemisia tabaci
Lineage: Eukaryota; Metazoa; Arthropoda; Insecta; Hemiptera; Aleyrodidae
Description: lncRNA ENSSSA1NGG009407
Source: RNAcentral